AGAGUUUGAUCCUGGCUCAGAAUGAACGCUGGCGGCGCGCCUAAUACAUGCAAGUCGAGCGAGAAGACGUAGCAAUACGUUUGUAAAGCGGCGAACGGGUGAGGAAUACAUGGGUAACCUACCCUCGAGUGGGGAAUAACUAGCCGAAAGGUUAGCUAAUACCGCGUACGCUCCUUGGACUUCGGUUCAGGGAGGAAAGCGCUACCGUGGGUAGCGCGCUCUUGGAUGGGCUCAUGUCCUAUCAGCUUGUUGGUGAGGUAACGGCUCACCAAGGCUUCGACGGGUAGCUGGUCUGAGAGGACGACCAGCCACACUGGCACUGCGACACGGGCCAGACUCCUACGGGAGGCAGCAGUAAGGAAUAUUGCGCAAUGGGCGAAAGCCUGACGCAGCGACGCCGCGUGGGGGAUGAAGGUCUUCGGAUUGUAAACCCCUUUCGGGAGGGAAGAUGGAAUGGGGUAACCCAUUUGGACGGUACCUCCAGAAGCAGC
RNAcentral lists this ribosomal RNA (491 nucleotides) under uncultured Nitrospira sp. Its description in RNAcentral is "bacterial SSU rRNA". It matches the Rfam family "Bacterial small subunit ribosomal RNA", at positions 8 to 491 of the family's 1533-position model. Lineage: Bacteria; Pseudomonadati; Nitrospirota; Nitrospiria; Nitrospirales; Nitrospiraceae. The record is from RNAcentral.